GCAUCGCGUCGCCCCUCACCAUCAUCCUAUGGACAAGUGGUGUAGGGAGCGGAUAUUGGUCUCCCAUGCUCAUGGUGUGGUUGAUCUAAAUAGGAGUCCUCCUUCGGUGGAUGCACGGCUAGUGGUGGUUGUAUAAUCUCGUAUCGAGCCGUGUGUUGUGAGCCGCAAGCGAMUUUSUCUUCAAAGACCCCUUAGUGUCGUCUUGCGAUGAUGCUUGA
This 218-nucleotide unclassified non-coding RNA is filed under the name Echinops sphaerocephalus subsp. taygeteus. Its description in RNAcentral is "internal transcriber spacer 2". Lineage: Eukaryota; Viridiplantae; Streptophyta; Magnoliopsida; Asterales; Asteraceae. The record is from RNAcentral.